RNAcentral lists this long non-coding RNA (729 nucleotides) under Nicotiana benthamiana. RNAcentral describes it as "long non-coding RNA (NBEN_LNC016944)". The record is from RNAcentral. Lineage: Eukaryota; Viridiplantae; Streptophyta; Magnoliopsida; Solanales; Solanaceae.
CAGUCCUGUAAUAUCCUCUUUCAAUGUAUGUCUAACCUAUAACUCAACAUCUGUUUAGAAAUCAAUAUUGAAACUAAACACACAGUCGUUCUAAUCAUGAAAUCCAAUCUUAAUAACAUUCAAAUUCUAUCAUGCUUCAAAAGUAGCUAGGAUUCACAAUCGAAAAUAAACCUAACAUGAAACACAUAGGACUAAGGUACUAGCACCAAUUCCACUAAUUUCAACAUGUUAUUACAAAAUCAUGAGAGAACACCAUAUUCUAGGCUAUUAUGAACUACAUACAUGUUAUUGGCAGAAUUAAAAGAAGAACAGAUGCAUUUCAACAAUCAAUCAAAUUUCAUUUCAUGUUGUCGAACUUCUGUUUCAAAUCGCAUUCAUAAAGCUGAAGAAUACCUGGAAAUGGAAAAGGGAAUAAAAGUCGCGAGGGAUCAGCAGUCAAUAACAACAGCAAACUAGCUUUAGCACUGCAACAGUAUUGAGUUAAAAAUGAUCAAGCCCAGCUCCAGAGAUUCCGGAUUUAAACCAUUUGGGCCAGGAUCUACUAAAUUGAUUCACAAAUGAAGAAGCUUCAAAAUCCUAACAUGAAUUGAUGGAACAUUAGAAUUUUUAGCUCAUGGAGUAUUUUCUCUGAUUUCUCUCUCUAAUUUUCUGUGUUUCAGCUCUAAGAUCUGAAGAACUCUUUCUCUCUCUCUCUCUCUAAGAUAUGAAAACUGUUUUUUGAUUUCAAAA